Molecule: ribosomal RNA, 398 nt
Filed under: uncultured bacterium
Lineage: Bacteria
Description: partial 16S ribosomal RNA
Rfam family: Bacterial small subunit ribosomal RNA
Source: RNAcentral
CCUACGGGUGGCAGCAGUGAGGAAUCUUGGUCAAUGGACGAGAGUCUGAACCAGCCAAGUAGCGUGAAGGAUGACUGCCCUAUGGGUUUUAAACUUCUUUUAUAAAGAAGUAAAACGAUGCGCGUGUGCCUUUUUGCAUGUACUUUAUGAAUAAGGAUCGGCUAACUCCGUUCCAGCAGCCGCGGUAAUACGGGGGAUGCGAGCGUUAUCCGGUUUGAUUGGGUUUAAAGUGUGCGGAGGCGUGCAUUUAAGCCGGCGGUCAUGUGUCGGGGCUCAACCGAGGACUGCCGUCGGAACUGGGUGCCUUGAGUGGGCGAGAGGUAUGCGGAAUGCGAGGUGUAGCGGUGAAAUGCGUAGAUAUCACGAAGAACCCCGAUGGCGAAGGCAGCAUACCGGCG